Transfer RNA from Ovis aries (sheep), 73 nucleotides. It matches the Rfam family "tRNA". Rfam says of the family: Transfer RNA (tRNA) molecules are approximately 80 nucleotides in length. The record is from Rfam. Lineage: Eukaryota; Metazoa; Chordata; Mammalia; Artiodactyla; Bovidae.
UCCCUGGAAGUCCAGUGGUUAAGACUCUGCACUUCCAUUGCAGAGGGCAUGGGUUCAAUCCCUGGUCGGAGAA